RNAcentral lists this ribosomal RNA (492 nucleotides) under uncultured bacterium. RNAcentral describes it as "partial 16S ribosomal RNA". It matches the Rfam family "Bacterial small subunit ribosomal RNA", at positions 29 to 507 of the family's 1533-position model. The record is from RNAcentral.
AGUGAACGCUGGCGGUAGGCCUAACACAUGCAAGUCGAACGGCAGCACAGUAAGAGCUUGCUCUUACGGGUGGCGAGUGGCGGACGGGUGAGGAAUACAUCGUAAUCUACUUUUUCGUGGGGGAUAACGUAGGGAAACUUACGCUAAUACCGCAUACGACCUACGGGUGAAAGCAGGGGAUCUUCGGACCUUGCGCGAUUGAAUGAGCCGAUGUCGGAUUGGCUAGUUGGCGGGGUAAAGGCCCACGAGGGCGACGAUCCGUAGCUGGUGUGUGAGGAUGGUAGGCCACAUUAGAACUUAGACACGGUCCAGGCUCCUACGGGAGGCAGCAGUGUGGAAUAUUAGACAAUGGGCGCAAGCCUGAUCCAGCCAUCGCGCGUGGGUGAAGAAGGCGUUCGGGUUGUAAAGCCCUUUUGUUGGGAGAGAAAAGCAGCAGGUUAAUACCCCGCUGUUCUGACGGUACCCAAAGAAUAAGCACCGGCUAACUUCGUG